CAACCAGUUACCAACCAGCACCAACCAGUUACCAACCAGCAGCCAGCACUGGUAAAAACCGCCUCUACCCGAGCGUCUCAGUCUAUAAAUCUGAGACUUCAGGUCAGUUUGCCUCCAGAAAUGCUCCGAACUUCGGUGGCGCACCGUCAGAGGGCGGGGCCGGUGGACAGCUGGUUGUCACGGCAACCCACCCGUUCACUGGGGAGCAGCCCGGUGACCUGAGCUUCGUCCCCGGAGACCGAAUCAGCGUCCUCACCAAGACCGACUCCCAGUACGACUGGUGGGAGGGACAACUGGCUGAUGGGCGAGUCGGGAUCUUCCCCGCCAACUUCGUCACGUACUGAACGCUGGCCCCCCCGGCGUCUAACGGAGGAACUGCAGCUGAGUGACUGUGUUACGGAGGGCGGGAGGGGUCGAGUCAAAACAUAUUUUUGGGGUUUGGCUUUAGAGCUGCAGCGAUCAGUCGAUUAACUGAAGAAUAAUUCAUCUGCAACUAUGUUCAGAUGCAAUUUCUUUCAAACAAAAUAACAUAAAAAAAAACUAAAAUUUGAUGUUUACAGGUCUUAAACUUAAGAAUCUGCCGCUUUUCUUCAAAUUUAAUAUUUGAUGUUAUCAGUUGAUGACAUUACCUCAUGCUUUGGGAUACUUUGAUUUCUGGUGUUUUAAAGACUAAAUAAUAAACUGAAUAAAAAAUUGCCAGAUUAGUAACAUAAAUAAUAAUUUUUUGCAGCCUUAUGUUAAUUUGCGGGUCUGUAAUUUCCUAAAAAUAAUUCAAGUAUAAUAGGCGUUAUCUCAAAAAAGGUGAUUACAUUUUUUCUCACAUUUUAAUAUUAACUUUUCACUAAGUGCGUAAAUUUCCCUCAACCACACAACGUUUCAUUCAGUAAGUAGCCUUUCGUAACUUUUUGUUAAGCACUUAACUUUUUGUUAGGUGAGUAACUUUUCGUUAGGCACGUUACUUUUUCGUAGAAGCAUUACGUUGCAUUAAGUGUUACUUUCAUUAAGUGUGUUACUUUUCCUUAGUAUGUAACUAAGUAAGUAUGUAACUUUCGGUUAACAGACUAAAUUUUCGUUCAGUACCCAACUUUUAGUAGGUGCAUUACUUUUUGUUUAGUUCGUUACUUUUCGUUUAGAGUCUAACUUUUCAUAAAGUGCCUAACUUCAUUAAGUACGUUACUUUUCGACAGGUGUGUUAAUAUAUGUAGUUAAUAUAUAAAAAUAAUAAUAAGAAGAAUGAUGAAGUUAACAGUUUGAUUGAGACAAUCAGCUGGUGUUUUUAUAUCUUUAAAUAUCGCAAAAUAAAUCUAAUUGAUAGAGAAUUUGCUUUAUUUCUGUCCAUUUUGUCAAAGAAAUGUUUAAAAAUUCAGUCAAAUUGAAAAAUAUAUGUCACCAUCGUGAAAAGUUCAUGCAUAUCUAAAAAUAGAUUGUUAGAUGUGUGUUUGUGAAACUUUGACAUGAUUUUAAAGUACUUUUAAAUGGAAAAUAAAGUUCAGUUUGUAUCAGUUGAUUUGUUAAGGCUGCAGUUCCUCUUUUGUCCUGCAGAGAGCGCUGCAGCUUUAGGAAUCAAAUCUGACCGUACACCAAAAAUAGACUUUUAAAGGCUUCACGCAUAAAAACAUGAAAAUAAAAUGAUGACAAUAAUUUUUAAUAUAAACAUUUUAUUUGCUAUUGUACU
Non-coding RNA from Plectropomus leopardus (leopard coralgrouper), 1675 nucleotides. The record is from RefSeq and is a predicted model, not a curated record. NCBI's taxonomy places the organism in Eukaryota, Metazoa, Chordata, Actinopteri, Perciformes, Serranidae.